GAUGAACGCUGACAGCAUGCUUAACACAUGCAGUCACCGAUUGUGGCGGACGGGCGAGUAACGCGUACAGAACUUGCCUCACAGGAAGGGACAACAUUUGGAACCGAAUGCUAAUUCCUAAUACUGUAAGAGAGCUUUGCGUCCCCGUAGCUAGUUGGAGAGGUAACGGCGCACCAAGGCGAGGAAGGGUAGCCGGCCUGAGAGGUUGAUCGGCCACAAGGGGACAGGGACACGGGCCUUACUCAGACGGGAGGCAGCAGUGGGGAAGUGAGGACAAUGGACCAAAGACUGAUACAGGAAUUCUGUGUGCAAGACGAAGUUUUCGGAAAGAAAAGUGCUUUCAGUUGGGAAGCGGUACCAACAGAAGAAGUGACGGCUAAAUACGUGCCAGCAGCCGCGGUAAUUC
This 406-nucleotide ribosomal RNA is filed under the name uncultured bacterium. RNAcentral's name for it is "partial 16S ribosomal RNA". It matches the Rfam family "Bacterial small subunit ribosomal RNA", at positions 28 to 526 of the family's 1533-position model. The record is from RNAcentral.